AGAGUUUGAUCCUGGCUCAGGAUGAACGCUGGCGGCGUGCUUAACACAUGCAAGUCGAACGAAGCACCUUGAUUUGAUUCUUCGGAUGAAGAUCUUGGUGACUGAGUGGCGGACGGGUGAGUAACGCGUGGGUAACCUGCCUCAUACAGGGGGAUAACAGUUAGAAAUGACUGCUAAUACCGCAUAAGACCACAGCACCGCAUGGUGCAGGGGUAAAAACUCCGGUGGUAUGAGAUGGACCCGCGUCUGAUUAGGUAGUUGGUGGGGUAACGGCCUACCAAGCCGACGAUCAGUAGCCGACCUGAGAGGGUGACCGGCCACAUUGGGACUGAGACACGGCCCAAACUCCUACGGGAGGCAGCAGUGGGGAAUAUUGCACAAUGGGGGAAACCCUGAUGCAGCGACGCCGCGUGAGCGAUGAAGUAUUUCGGUAUGUAAAGCUCUAUCAGCAGGGAAGAAAAUGACGGUACCUGACUAAGAAGCACCAGCUAAAUACGUGCCAGCAGCCGCGGUAAUACGUAUGGUGCAAGCGUUAUCCGGAUUUACUGGGUGUAAAGGGAGCGUAGACGGAGUGGCAAGUCUGAUGUGAAAACCCGGGGCUCAACCCCGGGACUGCAUUGGAAACUGUCAAUCUAGAGUACCGGAGAGGUAAGCGGAAUUCCUAGUGUAGCGGUGAAAUGCGUAGAUAUUAGGAGGAACACCAGUGGCGAAGGCGGCUUACUGGACGGUAACUGACGUUGAGGCUCGAAAGCGUGGGGAGCAAACAGGAUUAGAUACCCUGGUAGUCCACGCCGUAAACGAUGACUACUAGGUGUCGGGCAGCAAAGCUGUUCGGUGCCGCAGCAAACGCAAUAAGUAGUCCACCUGGGGAGUACGUUCGCAAGAAUGAAACUCAAAGGAAUAGACGGGGGCCCGCACAGGCAGUGGAGUAUGUGGUUUAAUUCGAAGCAACGCGAAGAACCUUACCAGGUCUUGACAUCGAGUGCAUAACUAAGAGAUUAGUGAAAUCCCUUCGGGGACACUUAGACAGGUGGUGCAUGGUUGUCGUCAGCUCGUGUCGUGAGAUGUUGGGUUAAGUCCCGCAACGAGCGCAACCCUUACCUUUAGUUGCUACGCAAGAGCACUCUAAAGGGACUGCCGUUGACAAAACGGAGGAAGGUGGGGAUGACGUCAAAUCAUCAUGCCCCUUAUGACCUGGGCUACACACGUACUACAAUGGCAAUCAACAAAGAGAAGCAAGACAGUGAUGUGGAGCAAAUCUCAAAAAAUUGUCCCAGUUCAGAUUGUAGGCUGCAACUCGCCUACAUGAAGUCGGAAUUGCUAGUAAUCGCGGAUCAGAAUGCCGCGGUGAAUACGUUCCCGGGCCUUGUACACACCGCCCGUCACACCAUGGGAGUCGGUAACACCCGAAGUCGGUAGUCUAACAGCAAUGAGGACGCCGCCGAAGGUGGGAUUGAUGACUG
This 1463-nucleotide ribosomal RNA is filed under the name metagenome. Its description in RNAcentral is "bacterial SSU rRNA". It matches the Rfam family "Bacterial small subunit ribosomal RNA". The record is from RNAcentral.